RNAcentral lists this ribosomal RNA (207 nucleotides) under uncultured bacterium. RNAcentral's name for it is "partial 16S ribosomal RNA". It matches the Rfam family "Bacterial small subunit ribosomal RNA", at positions 568 to 774 of the family's 1533-position model. The record is from RNAcentral.
CUCGUAGGCGGUUCGUCGCGUCCGGUGUGAAAGUCCAUCGCUUAACGGUGGAUCCGCGCCGGGUACGGGCGGGCUUGAGUGCGGUAGGGGAGACUGGAAUUCCCGGUGUAACGGUGGAAUGUGUAGAUAUCGGGAGGAACACCAGUGGCGAAGGCGACCUACUGGGCACCAACUGACGCUGAGGCUCGAAAGCAUGGGUAGCAAACA